RNAcentral lists this ribosomal RNA (440 nucleotides) under uncultured bacterium. RNAcentral's name for it is "partial 16S ribosomal RNA". It matches the Rfam family "Bacterial small subunit ribosomal RNA", at positions 338 to 795 of the family's 1533-position model. The record is from RNAcentral.
CCUACGGGUGGCAGCAGUGGGGAAUAUUGGACAAUGGGGGAAACCCUUAUCCAGCGACGCCGCGUGAGGGAAGAAGGUUUUCGGAUUGUAAACCUCUGUCAGUGGGGACGAUAAUGACGGUACGCACGGAGGAAGCCACGGCUAACUACGUGCCAGCAGCCGGGGUAAUACGGAGGUGGCAAGCGUUGUCCGGGAUUACUGGGUGUAAAGGGAGCGUAGGCGGGAUGGCAAGUCAGAAGUGAAAAUUAUGGGCUCAACUCAUAACCUGCUAUUGAAACUGAAAUUCUUGAGUGAAGUAGAGGCAAGCGGAAUUACUCGAGUAGCGGUGAAAUGCGUAGAUAUUAGGAGGAACACCAGUAGCGAAGGCAGCUUACUAGGCUUUUACUGACGCUGAGGCUCGAGAGCGUGGGGAGCAAACAGGAUUAGAUACCCUGGUAGUC